UACGGAGGAUGCGAGCGUUAUCCGGAUUUAUUGGGCUUAAAGGGUGCGCAGGCGGUCUGUUAAGUCAGCGGUCAAAGCCCGGGGCUCAACCCCGGCCCGCCGUUGAAACUGGCAGUCUCGAGUUGGAGAGAAGUAUGCGGAAUGCGCGGUGUAGCGGUGAAAUGCAUAGAUAUCGCGCAGAACUCCGAUUGCGAAGGCAGCAUGCCGGCUCCACACUGACGCUGAGGCACGAAAGCGUGGGUAUCGAACAGG
This 252-nucleotide ribosomal RNA is filed under the name uncultured bacterium. RNAcentral describes it as "partial 16S ribosomal RNA". It matches the Rfam family "Bacterial small subunit ribosomal RNA", at positions 524 to 776 of the family's 1533-position model. The record is from RNAcentral.